ACCAGCACCUCAAGUGGUCAGGAUGAUUAUUGGGCCUAAAGCAUCCGUAGCCUGCUUUGUUAGUUUUCGGUUAAAUCUGUACGCUUAACGUACAGGCUGCCGGGAAUACUGCAAAGCUAGGGAGUGGGAGAGGUAGACGGUACUCGGUAGGAAGGGGUAAAUCCUUUGAUCUAUUGAUGACCACCUGUGGCGAAGGCGGUCUACCAGAACACGUCCGACGGUGAGGGAUGAAAGCUGGGGGAGCAAACCGGAUUAGAUACCCGGGUAGUCCCAGCUGUAAACCAUGCAAACUCAGUGAUGCAUUGGCUUGUGGCCAGUGCAGUGCUGCAGGGAAGCCGUUAAGUUUGCCGCCUGGGAAGUACGUACGCAAGUAUGAAACUUAAAGGAAUUGGCGGGGAGCACCUCAAGGGGUGAAGCCUGCGGUUC
This 426-nucleotide ribosomal RNA is filed under the name uncultured archaeon. Its description in RNAcentral is "bacterial SSU rRNA". It matches the Rfam family "Archaeal small subunit ribosomal RNA", at positions 475 to 903 of the family's 1478-position model. The record is from RNAcentral.